This 404-nucleotide ribosomal RNA is filed under the name Actinomycetes bacterium. RNAcentral's name for it is "Actinobacteria bacterium partial 16S ribosomal RNA". It matches the Rfam family "Bacterial small subunit ribosomal RNA", at positions 355 to 776 of the family's 1533-position model. The record is from RNAcentral. Lineage: Bacteria; Bacillati; Actinomycetota; Actinomycetes.
UGGGGAAUAUUGGACAAUGGGCGCAAGCCUGAUCCAGCCAUGCCGCGUGAGUGAUGAAGGCCCUAGGGUUGUAAAGCUCUUUCACCGGUGAAGAUAAUGACGGUAACCGGAGAAGAAGCCCCGGCUAACUUCGGGCCAGCAGCCGCGGUAAUACGAAGGGGGCUAGCGUUGUUCGGAUUUACUGGGCGUAAAGCGCACGUAGGCGGACUUUUAAGUCAGGGGUGAAAUCCCGGGGCUCAACCCCGGAACUGCCUUUGAUACUGGAAGUCUUGAGUAUGGUAGCGGUGCGUGGAAUUCCGAGUGUCGAGGUGCAAUUCGUAGAUAUUCGGAGGAACACCAGUGGCGCAGGCGGCUCACUGGACCAUUUCUGCCGCUGCGGUGCGCAAGCGUUGGGAGCAAACCGG